Molecule: ribosomal RNA, 1522 nt
Filed under: metagenome
Description: bacterial SSU rRNA
Rfam family: Bacterial small subunit ribosomal RNA
Source: RNAcentral
AGAGUUUGAUCAUGGCUCAGAUUGAACGCUGGCGGCAGGCCUAACACAUGCAAGUCGAACGGUAACAGGAAACAGCUUGCUGUUUCGCUGACGAGUGGCGGACGGGUGAGUAAUGUCUGGGAAACUGCCUGAUGGAGGGGGAUAACUACUGGAAACGGUAGCUAAUACCGCAUAACGUCGCAAGACCAAAGAGGGGGACCUUCGGGCCUCUUGCCAUCAGAUGUGCCCAGAUGGGAUUAGCUAGUAGGUGGGGUAACGGCUCACCUAGGCGACGAUCCCUAGCUGGUCUGAGAGGAUGACCAGCCACACUGGAACUGAGACACGGUCCAGACUCCUACGGGAGGCAGCAGUGGGGAAUAUUGCACAAUGGGCGCAAGCCUGAUGCAGCCAUGCCGCGUGUAUGAAGAAGGCCUUCGGGUUGUAAAGUACUUUCAGCGGGGAGGAAGUGAGUAAAGUUAAUACCUUUGCUCAUUGACGUUACCCGCAGAAGAAGCACCGGCUAACUCCGUGCCAGCAGCCGCGGUAAUACGGAGGGUGCAAGCGUUAAUCGGAAUUACUGGGCGUAAAGCGCACGCAGGCGGUUUGUUAAGUCAGAUGUGAAAUCCCCGGGCUCAACCUGGGAACUGCAUCUGAUACUGGCAAGCUUGAGUCUCGUAGAGGGGGGUAGAAUUCCAGGUGUAGCGGUGAAAUGCGUAGAGAUCUGGAGGAAUACCGGUGGCGAAGGCGGCCCCCUGGACGAAGACUGACGCUCAGGUGCGAAAGCGUGGGGAGCAAACAGGAUUAGAUACCCUGGUAGUCCACGCCGUAAACGAUGUCGACUUGGAGGUUGUGCCCUUGAGGCGUGGCUUCCGGAGCUAACGCGUUAAGUCGACCGCCUGGGGAGUACGGCCGCAAGGUUAAAACUCAAAUGAAUUGACGGGGGCCCGCACAAGCGGUGGAGCAUGUGGUUUAAUUCGAUGCAACGCGAAGAACCUUACCUGGUCUUGACAUCCACGGAAGUUUUCAGAGAUGAGAAUGUGCCUUCGGGAACCGUGAGACAGGUGCUGCAUGGCUGUCGUCAGCUCGUGUUGUGAAAUGUUGGGUUAAGUCCCGCAACGAGCGCAACCCUUAUCCUUUGUUGCCAGCGGUCCGGCCGGGAACUCAAAGGAGACUGCCAGUGAUAAACUGGAGGAAGGUGGGGAUGACGUCAAGUCUUCAUGGCCCUUACGACCAGGGCUACACACGUGCUACAAUGGCGCAUACAAAGAGAAGCGACCUCGCGAGAGCAAGCGGACCUCAUAAAGUGCGUCGUAGUCCGGAUUGGAGUCUGCAACUCGACUCCAUGAAGUCGGAAUCGCUAGUAAUCGUGGAUCAGAAUGCCACGGUGAAUACGUUCCCGGGCCUUGUACACACCGCCCGUCACACCAUGGGAGUGGGUUGCAAAAGAAGUAGGUAGCUUAACCUUCGGGAGGGCGCUUACCACUUUGUGAUUCAUGACUGGGGUGAAGUCGGAACAGGGUAACCGUAGGGGAACCUGCGGUUG